This 305-nucleotide long non-coding RNA is filed under the name Cyanistes caeruleus (blue tit). RNAcentral describes it as "lncRNA (ENSCCEG00000010691.1)". Lineage: Eukaryota; Metazoa; Chordata; Aves; Passeriformes; Paridae. The record is from RNAcentral.
UUGGUUAGUUGAUUAUUUUGAUUUUUUUUUUUGUGUAGAGUAUUCUUGGUGGGGAGAUAUGUUUUGGGGUUUUUUGGUGUUGAUUUUUUUCAUAAUACUGACUUAAACUUUGGUAUGUAGUUUCAGUUUAAAUACAUUGAAAAUACAUUGACUGGUGAAAAAGAAAUCACCCCAUAUUUCUUAUACAGCAAAGAACCCAUCUGAAGAUGUUCUCUUGUUUUUCUGAUUGUGGAAUGUCUGAGACCAGAACAGAAUGGUACCAGAUUGGUUUGAUCACAGUAAACUGUCAUAGAUCAAAGGAGCCA